AUUUUACUCAACUUUUGUGAGGCGUCAAAAAAAUAAAUAUUUUCGCAGGUAACAAAUUUUGUGGCUGCAGCUUUUCGCGCCCGGAGGUACUAUAUGAGAGAGAUCUCUAGGAAUAAAGUGUAAGAACUUAGUUCCGAUGAAGUGAAUUAUAUAAACUAUACCUCCAGUCGGAGGUAUAUCUAUAGUUCCUUCCUGGCCUCGCGAUUUAUCGCUCAAGUCUCGGGCUGACAACGUCUUCCCGAGCAAGGUGAAACAGUGGAUUACUAGGCAAUGCCAAGUCCACCAAAACCCAGAUCAUUAGAUCUUUUUGCUACGAGUCAGUGGACAAUCCAGUCUUAAUAACUUCUAC
Molecule: unclassified non-coding RNA, 349 nt
Filed under: Metschnikowia similis
Lineage: Eukaryota; Fungi; Ascomycota; Pichiomycetes; Serinales; Metschnikowiaceae
Description: external transcribed spacer
Source: RNAcentral